RNAcentral lists this ribosomal RNA (757 nucleotides) under uncultured Actinomyces sp. RNAcentral describes it as "bacterial SSU rRNA". It matches the Rfam family "Bacterial small subunit ribosomal RNA", at positions 28 to 776 of the family's 1533-position model. Lineage: Bacteria; Bacillati; Actinomycetota; Actinomycetes; Actinomycetales; Actinomycetaceae. The record is from RNAcentral.
GACGAACGCUGGCGGCGUGCUUAACACAUGCAAGUCGAACGAAAAUACCAAGCUUGCUUGGUUGAUUAGUGGCGAACGGGUGAGUAACACGUGAGUAACCUGCCCCUUACUUUCCUGGAUAACUGCUCGAAAGGGUAGCUAAUACGGGAUAUUCUGACUAGCCUGCAUGGGUUGGUUUGGAAAGGUUGUUUUUCUGGUAAGGGAUGGGCUCGCGGCCUAUCAGCUUGUUGGUGGGGUGAUGGCCUACCAAGGCUUUGACGGGUAGCCGGCCUGAGAGGGUGGACGGUCACACUGGGACUGAGAUACGGCCCAGACUCCUACGGGAGGCAGCAGUGGGGAAUAUUGCACAAUGGGCGCAAGCCUGAUGCAGCGACGCCGCGUGAGGGAUGAAGGCCUUCGGGUUGUAAACCUCUUUCGUCAGGGAACAAGGCACCGUCUUUUUGGUGGUGUUGAGGGUACCUGGAUAAGAAGCGCCGGCUAACUACGUGCCAGCAGCCGCGGUAAUACGUAGGGCGCAAGCGUUGUCCGGAAUUAUUGGGCGUAAAGAGCUCGUAGGCGGCUGGUCGCGUCUGUCGUGAAAACUUCCGGCUCAACCGGGGGCUUGCGGUGGGUACGGGCCGGCUAGAGUGCGGUAGGGGUAACUGGAACUCCUGGUGUAGCGGUGGAAUGCGCAGAUAUCAGGAAGAACACCGAUGGCGAAGGCAGGUUACUGGGCCGUUACUGACGCUGAGGAGCGAAAGCGUGGGGAGCGAACAGG